Molecule: ribosomal RNA, 492 nt
Filed under: uncultured bacterium
Lineage: Bacteria
Description: partial 16S ribosomal RNA
Rfam family: Bacterial small subunit ribosomal RNA
Source: RNAcentral
AGUGAACGCUGGCGGUAGGCCUAACACAUGCAAGUCGAACGGCAGCACAGUAAGAGCUUGCUCUUACGGGUGGCGAGUGGCGGACGGGUGAGGAAUACAUCGGAAUCUACUUUUUCGUGGGGGAUAACGUAGGGAAACUUACGCUAAUACCGCAUACGACCUACGGGUGAAAGCAGGGGAUCUUCGGACCUUGCGCGAUUGAAUGAGCCGAUGUCGGAUUAGCUAGUUGGCGGGGUAAAGGCCCACCAAGGCGACGAUCCGUAGCUGGUCUGAGAGGAUGAUCAGCCACACUGGAACUGAGACACGGUCCAGACUCCUACGGGAGGCAGCAGUGGGGAAUAUUGGACAAAGGGCGCAAGCCUGAUCCAGCCAUACCGCGUGGGUGAAGAAGGCCUUCGGGUUGUAAAGCCCUUUUGUUGGGAAAUAAAAGCAGCAGGUUAAUACCCCGCUGUUCUGACGGUACCCAAAGAAUAAGCACCGGCUAACUUCGUG